Molecule: ribosomal RNA, 484 nt
Filed under: uncultured bacterium
Lineage: Bacteria
Description: partial 16S ribosomal RNA
Rfam family: Bacterial small subunit ribosomal RNA
Source: RNAcentral
AGUGAACGCUGGCGGCGUGCUUAACACAUGCAAGUCGAACGAGAACGGAUUAUAGCUUGCUAUAAUUGUCAGCUAAGUGGCGCACGGGAGAGUAAUGUAUAGGUAAUAUGCCUCUUACUAAGGGAUAACAAAUGGAAACGUUCGCUAAUACCUUAUACUCCUUAUUAACAGAAGUUAAUAAGGGAAAGAUUUAUUGGUAAGAGAUUAGCCUGUAUUGUAUCAGUUAGUUGGUGGGGUAAUGGCUUACCAAGAAUAUGACACAUAACUGGUUUGAGAGGAUGAUCAGUCACACUGGAACUGAGACACGGUCCAGACUCCUACGGGAGGCAGCAGUGGGGAAUAUUGCACAAUGGACGAAAGUCUGAUGCGGCAACGCCGCGUGGAGGAUGACACAUUUCGGUGCGUAAACUCCUUUUAUAUGAGAAGAUAAUGACGGUAUUAUAUGAAUAAGCACCGGCUAACUCCGUGCCAGCAGCCGCGGUAA